Molecule: transfer RNA, 72 nt
Filed under: Sphingobacterium multivorum
Lineage: Bacteria; Pseudomonadati; Bacteroidota; Sphingobacteriia; Sphingobacteriales; Sphingobacteriaceae
Also listed under: 1 other name
Description: tRNA-Asp
Rfam family: tRNA
About the family: Transfer RNA (tRNA) molecules are approximately 80 nucleotides in length. Their secondary structure includes four short double-helical elements and three loops (D, anti-codon, and T loops). Further hydrogen bonds mediate the characteristic L-shaped molecular structure. tRNAs have two regions of fundamental functional importance: the anti-codon, which is responsible for specific mRNA codon recognition, and the 3' end, to which the tRNAs corresponding amino acid is attached (by aminoacyl-tRNA synthetases). tRNAs cope with the degeneracy of the genetic code in two manners: having more than one tRNA (with a specific anti-codon) for a particular amino acid; and 'wobble' base-pairing, i.e. permitting non-standard base-pairing at the 3rd anti-codon position.
Source: RNAcentral
AGUUCGUUAGUUCAGUGGUAGAAUAGCCGAUUGUCUGUCGGAGGGUCACGGGUUCGAGUCCCGUACGAACUG